GACGAACGCUGGCGGCGUGCUUAACACAUGCAAGUCGAACGGAAAGGCCCUGCUUUUGUGGGGUGCUCGAGUGGCGAACGGGUGAGUAACACGUGAGUAACCUGCCCUUGACUUUGGGAUAACUUCAGGAGACUGGGGCUAAUACCGGAUAGGAGCUCCUGCUGCAUGGUGGGGGUUGGAAAGUUUCGGCGGUUGGGGAUGGACUCGCGGCUUAUCAGCUUGUUGGUGGGGUAGUGGCUUACCAAGGCUUUGACGGGUAGCCGGCCUGAGAGGGUGACCGGCCACAUUGGGACUGAGAUACGGACCAGACUCCUACGGGAGGCAGCAGUGGGGAAUAUUGCACAAUGGGCGGAAGCCUGAUGCAGCAACGCCGCGUGCGGGAUGACGGCCUUCGGGUUGUAAACCGCUUUCGCCUGUGACGAAGCGUGAGUGACGGUAAUGGGUAAAGAAGCACCGGCUAACUACGUG
This 468-nucleotide ribosomal RNA is filed under the name uncultured bacterium. RNAcentral describes it as "partial 16S ribosomal RNA". It matches the Rfam family "Bacterial small subunit ribosomal RNA", at positions 28 to 507 of the family's 1533-position model. The record is from RNAcentral.